This 545-nucleotide ribosomal RNA is filed under the name Clostridioides difficile. RNAcentral describes it as "bacterial SSU rRNA". It matches the Rfam family "Bacterial small subunit ribosomal RNA", at positions 995 to 1533 of the family's 1533-position model. The record is from RNAcentral. Lineage: Bacteria; Bacillati; Bacillota; Clostridia; Peptostreptococcales; Peptostreptococcaceae.
CAUCUCCUUAAUCGGAGAGUUCCCUUCGGGGACAUUGGUGACAGGUGGUGCAUGGUUGUCGUCAGCUCGUGUCGUGAGAUGUUGGGUUAAGUCCCGCAACGAGCGCAACCCUUGUCUUUAGUUGCCAUCAUUAAGUUGGGCACUCUAGAGAGACUGCCAGGGAUAACCUGGAGGAAGGUGGGGAUGACGUCAAAUCAUCAUGCCCCUUAUGCUUAGGGCUACACACGUGCUACAAUGGGUAGUACAGAGGGUUGCCAAGCCGUAAGGUGGAGCUAAUCCCUUAAAGCUACUCUCAGUUCGGAUUGUAGGCUGAAACUCGCCUACAUGAAGCUGGAGUUACUAGUAAUCGCAGAUCAGAAUGCUGCGGUGAAUGCGUUCCCGGGUCUUGUACACACCGCCCGUCACACCACGGGAGUUGGAGACGCCCGAAGCCGAUUAUCUAACCUUUUGGAAGAAGUCGUCGAAGGUGGAAUCAAUAACGGGGGUGAAGUCGUAACAAGGUAGCCGUAUCGGAAGGUGCGGCUGGAUCACCUCCUUUCUAAGGA